RNAcentral lists this ribosomal RNA (253 nucleotides) under uncultured bacterium. Its description in RNAcentral is "partial 16S ribosomal RNA". It matches the Rfam family "Bacterial small subunit ribosomal RNA", at positions 524 to 776 of the family's 1533-position model. The record is from RNAcentral.
UACGUAGGGGGCAAGCGUUACUCGGAAUCACUGGGCGUAAAGCGUGCGUAGGCGGUUGGUUAAGUCUGCUGUGAAAGCCCUGGGCUCAACCUGGGAACUGCAGUGGAUACUGGCCAGCUAGAGUGUGAUAGAGGAUGGUGGAAUUCCCGGUGUAGCGGUGAAAUGCGUAGAGAUCGGGAGGAACACCAGUGGCGAAGGCGGCCAUCUGGAUCAACACUGACGCUGAGGCACGAAAGCGUGGGGAGCAAACAGG